Molecule: ribosomal RNA, 374 nt
Filed under: uncultured organism
Description: partial 16S ribosomal RNA
Rfam family: Bacterial small subunit ribosomal RNA
Source: RNAcentral
GUAGGUGGCAAGCGUUGUCCGGAAUUGUUGGGCGUAAAGCGCGCGCAGGCGGUUCUUUAAGUCUGAUGUGAAAGCCCACGGCUCAACCGUGGAGGGUCAUUGGAAACUGGAGAACUUGAGUACAGAGGAGGAAAGCGGAAUUCCACGUGUAGCGGUGAAAUGCGUAGAGAUGUGGAGGAACACCAGUGGCGAAGGCGGCUUUCUGGUCUGUAACUGACGCUGAGGCGCGAAAGCGUGGGGAGCAAACAGGGAUUAGAUACCCUGGUAGUCCACGCCGUAAACGAUGAGUGCUAAGUGUUAGGGGGGUUUCCGCCCCCUUAGUGCUGCAGCUAACGCAUUAAGCACUCCGCCUGGGGAGUACGGCCGCAAGGCUG